AGAACGAACGCUGGCGGCGUGGAUUAGGCAUGCAAGUCGAACGCGAAAGAGGGGGGUAACCCCCCUUGAGUAGAGUGGCGAACGGGUGAGUAACGCGUGAAGAACCUGCCUUCAACAGGGGGAUAACACUCCCAACGGGGUGCUAAUACCGCGUAAGACCACGGGUCCGCAUGAACCCGAGGUCAAAGGUGGCCUCUGCUUGCAAGCUACCGGUUGAAGAUGGCUUCGCGUCCCAUUAGCUAGUUGGCGGUGUAAUAGACCACCAAGGCGACGAGUGGUAGCGUGGUCUGAGAGGAGUGGUCAGCCACGACG
Molecule: ribosomal RNA, 312 nt
Filed under: uncultured soil bacterium
Lineage: Bacteria
Description: bacterial SSU rRNA
Rfam family: Bacterial small subunit ribosomal RNA
Source: RNAcentral